This 515-nucleotide ribosomal RNA is filed under the name uncultured bacterium. Its description in RNAcentral is "partial 16S ribosomal RNA". It matches the Rfam family "Bacterial small subunit ribosomal RNA", at positions 28 to 523 of the family's 1533-position model. The record is from RNAcentral.
GAUGAACGCUGGCGGCGUGCCUAAUACAUGCAAGUCGAGCGAAUGGAUUAAGAGCUUGCUCUUAUGAAGUUAGCGGCGGACGGGUGAGUAACACGUGGGUAACCUGCCCAUAAGACUGGGAUAACUCCGGGAAACCAGGGCUAAUACCGGAUAACAUUUUGAACCGCAUGGUUCGAAAUUGAAAGGAGGCUUCGGCUGUCACUUAUGGAUGGACCCGCGUCGCAUUAGCUAGUUGGUGAGGUAACGGCUCACCAGGGCAACGAUGCGUAGCCGACCUGAGAGGGUGAUCGGCCACACUGGGACUGAGACACGGCCCAGACUCCUACGGGAGGCAGCAGUAGGGAAUCUUCCGCAAUGGACGAAAGUCUGACGGAGCAACGCCGCGUGAGUGAUGAAGGCUUUCGGGUCGUAAAACUCUGUUGUUAGGGAAGAACAAGUGCUAGUUGAAUAAGCUGGCACCUUGACGGUACCUAACCAGAAAGCCACGGCUAACUACGUGCCAGCCGCCGCCGUAA